GUGGGGAAUCUUGCGCAAUGGGCGAAAGCCUGACGCAGCCAUGCCGCGUGAAUGAUGAAGGUCUUAGGAUUGUAAAAUUCUUUCACCGGGGACGAUAAUGACGGUACCCGGAGAAGAAGCUCCGGCUAACUUCGAGCCAGCAGCCGCGGUAAUACGAAGGGGGCUAGCGUUGCUCGGAAUUACUGGGCGUAAAGGGCGCGUAGGCGGACAGCUUAGUCAGAGGUGAAAGCCCAGGGCUCAACCUUGGAAUUGCCUUUGAUACUGGCUGUCUUGAGUUUGGGAGAGGUGAGUGGAACUCCGAGUGUAGAGGUGAAAUUCGUAGAUAUUCGGAAGAACACCAGUGGCGAAGGCGACUCACUGGCCCAAUACUGACGCUGAGGCGCGAAAGCGUGGGGAGCAAACAGGAUUAGAAACCCGGGUAGUCC
RNAcentral lists this ribosomal RNA (425 nucleotides) under uncultured bacterium. RNAcentral describes it as "partial 16S ribosomal RNA". It matches the Rfam family "Bacterial small subunit ribosomal RNA", at positions 354 to 796 of the family's 1533-position model. The record is from RNAcentral.